RNAcentral lists this transfer RNA (73 nucleotides) under Ixodes scapularis (black-legged tick). Its description in RNAcentral is "tRNA-Ser for anticodon GGA". It matches the Rfam family "tRNA". Rfam says of the family: Transfer RNA (tRNA) molecules are approximately 80 nucleotides in length. Their secondary structure includes four short double-helical elements and three loops (D, anti-codon, and T loops). Further hydrogen bonds mediate the characteristic L-shaped molecular structure. tRNAs have two regions of fundamental functional importance: the anti-codon, which is responsible for specific mRNA codon recognition, and the 3' end, to which the tRNAs corresponding amino acid is attached (by aminoacyl-tRNA synthetases). tRNAs cope with the degeneracy of the genetic code in two manners: having more than one tRNA (with a specific anti-codon) for a particular amino acid; and 'wobble' base-pairing, i.e. permitting non-standard base-pairing at the 3rd anti-codon position. The record is from Rfam by way of RNAcentral. Lineage: Eukaryota; Metazoa; Arthropoda; Arachnida; Ixodida; Ixodidae.
UCCUGGUUAGCUCAAUCGGUAGAGCGCUCCGCUGGAAAUGAAGACGCCCCUGGUUCGAAUCUAGGACCAGGCG